AGAGUUUGAUCAUGGCUCAGGAUGAACGCUAGCUACAGGCUUAACACAUGCAAGUCGAGGGGCAGCAUGUUGGUUGCUUGCAACCAAUGAUGGCGACCGGCGCACGGGUGAGUAACGCGUAUCCAACCUACCCUUGUCCAUCGGAUAACCCGUCGAAAGGCGGCCUAACACGAUAUGCGGUUCUCAGCAGGCAUCUAACGAGAACGAAUGUGAAGGAGAAGGAUGGGGAUGCGUCUGAUUAGCUUGGUUGGCGGGAUAACGGCCACCAAGGCGACGAUCGAGUAGGGGUUCUGAGACGGAAGGUCCCCCANAUUGGAACUGAGACACGGUCCAAACGUCCUACGGGAGGCA
Molecule: ribosomal RNA, 351 nt
Filed under: uncultured bacterium
Lineage: Bacteria
Description: bacterial SSU rRNA
Rfam family: Bacterial small subunit ribosomal RNA
Source: RNAcentral